AACGAACGCUGGCGGCAUGCCUAACACAUGCAAGUCGAACGAGACCUUCGGGUCUAGUGGCGCACGGGUGCGUAACGCGUGGGAACCUGCCCUUAGGUUCGGAAUAACUCCCCGAAAGGGGUGCUAAUACCGGAUAAUGUCUUCGGACCAAAGAUUUAUCGCCUUUGGAUGGGCCCGCGUUGGAUUAGCUAGUUGGUAGGGUAAAAGCCUACCAAGGCGACGAUCCAUAGCUGGUCUGAGAGGAUGAUCAGCCACACUGGGAAUGAGACACGGCCCAGACUCGUACGGGAGGCAGCAGUGGGGAAUAUUGGAGAAUGGGCGAAAGACUGAUAAAGCAAUGCCGGGUGAGUGAUGAAGGCCGUAGGGUUGUAAAGCUCUUUUACACGGGAUGAUAAUGACAGUACCGGGAGAAUAAGCACCGGCUAACUCCGUG
This 433-nucleotide ribosomal RNA is filed under the name uncultured bacterium. RNAcentral describes it as "partial 16S ribosomal RNA". It matches the Rfam family "Bacterial small subunit ribosomal RNA", at positions 29 to 507 of the family's 1533-position model. The record is from RNAcentral.